CGGGACACGUGGUAUCCUGUCUGAAUAUGGGGGGACCAUCCUCCAAGGCUAAAUACUCCUGACUGACCGAUAGUGAACCAGUACCGUGAGGGAAAGGCGAAAAGAACCCCGGCGAGGGGAGUGAAAAAGAACCUGAAACCGUGUACGUACAAGCAGUGGGAGCACGCUUAGGCGUGUGACUGCGUACCUUUUGUAUAAUGGGUCAGCGACUUAUAUUCUGUAGCAAGGUUAACCGAAUAGGGGAGCCGAAGGGAAACCGAGUCUUAACUGGGCGUUAAGUUGCAGGGUAUAGACCCGAAACCCGGUGAUCUAGCCAUGGGCAGGUUGAAGGUUGGGUAACACUAACUGGAGGACCGAACCGACUAAUGUUGAAAAAUUAGCGGAUGACUUGUGGCUGGGGGUGAAAGGCCAAUCAAACCGGGAGAUAGCUGGUUCUCCCCGAAAGCUAUUUAGGUAGCGCCUCGUGAAUUCAUCUCCGGGGGUAGAGCACUGUUUCGGCAAGGGGGUCAUCCCGACUUACCAACCCGAUGCAAACUGCGAAUACCGGAGAAUGUUAUCACGGGAGACACACGGCGGGUGCUAACGUCCGUCGUGAAGAGGGAAACAACCCAGACCGCCAGCUAAGGUCCCAAAGUCAUGGUUAAGUGGGAAACGAUGUGGGAAGGCCCAGACAGCCAGGAUGUUGGCUUAGAAGCAGCCAUCAUUUAAAGAAAGCGUAAUAGCUCACUGGUCGAGUCGGCCUGCGCGGAAGAUGUAACGGGGCUAAACCAUGCACCGAAGCUGCGGCAGCGACGCUGAUGCGUUGUUGGGUAGGGGAGCGUUCUGUAAGCCUGUGAAGGUGUGCUGUGAGGCAUGCUGGAGGUAUCAGAAGUGCGAAUGCUGACAUAAGUAACGAUAAAGCGGGUGAAAAGCCCGCUCGCCGGAAGACCAAGGGUUCCUGUCCAACGUUAAUCGGGGCAGGGUGAGUCGACCCCUAAGGCGAGGCCGAAAGGCGUAGUCGAUGGGAAACAGGUUAAUAUUCCUGUACUUGGUGUUACUGCGAAGGGGGGACGGAGAAGGCUAUGUUGGCCGGGCGACGGUUGUCCCGGUUUAAGCGUGUAGGCUGGUUUUCCAGGCAAAUCCGGAAAAUCAAGGCUGAGGCGUGAUGACGAGGCACUACGGUGCUGAAGCAACAAAUGCCCUGCUUCCAGGAAAAGCCUCUAAGCAUCAGGUAACAUCAAAUCGUACCCCAAACCGACACAGGUGGUCAGGUAGAGAAUACCAAGGCGCUUGAGAGAACUCGGGUGAAGGAACUAGGCAAAAUGGUGCCGUAACUUCGGGAGAAGGCACGCUGAUAUGUAGGUGAAGCGACUUGCUCGUGGAGCUGAAAUCAGUCGAAGAUACCAGCUGGCUGCAACUGUUUAUUAAAAACACAGCACUGUGCAAACACGAAAGUGGACGUAUACGGUGUGACGCCUGCCCGGUGCCGGAAGGUUAAUUGAUGGGGUCAGCGCAAGCGAAGCUCUUGAUCGAAGCCCCGGUAAACGGCGGCCGUAACUAUAACGGUCCUAAGGUAGCGAAAUUCCUUGUCGGGUAAGUUCCGACCUGCACGAAUGGCGUAAUGAUGGCCAGGCUGUCUCCACCCGAGACUCAGUGAAAUUGAACUCGCUGUGAAGAUGCAGUGUACCCGCGGCAAGACGGAAAGACCCCGUGAACCUUUACUAUAGCUUGACACUGAACAUUGAGCCUUGAUGUGUAGGAUAGGUGGGAGGCUUUGAAGUGUGGACGCCAGUCUGCAUGGAGCCGGCCUUGAAAUACCACCCUUUAAUGUUUGAUGUUCUAACGUUGACCCGUGAUCCGGGUUGCGGACAGUGUCUGGUGGGUAGUUUGACUGGGGCGGUCUCCUCCUAAAGAGUAACGGAGGAGCACGAAGGUUGGCUAAUCCUGGUCGGACAUCAGGAGGUUAGUGCAAUGGCAUAAGCCAGCUUGACUGCGAGCGUGACGGCGCGAGCAGGUGCGAAAGCAGGUCAUAGUGAUCCGGUGGUUCUGAAUGGAAGGGCCAUCGCUCAACGGAUAAAAGGUACUCCGGGGAUAACAGGCUGAUACCGCCCAAGAGUUCAUAUCGACGGCGGUGUUUGGCACCUCGAUGUCGGCUCAUCACAUCCUGGGGCUGAAGUAGGUCCCAAGGGUAUGGCUGUUCGCCAUUUAAAGUGGUACGCGAGCUGGGUUUAGAACGUCGUGAGACAGUUCGGUCCCUAUCUGCCGUGGGCGCUGGAGAACUGAGGGGGGCUGCUCCUAGUACGAGAGGACCGGAGUGGACGCAUCACUGGUGUUCGGGUUGUCAUGCCAAUGGCACUGCCCGGUAGCUAAAUGCGGAAGAGAUA
Molecule: ribosomal RNA, 2363 nt
Filed under: Escherichia coli
Lineage: Bacteria; Pseudomonadati; Pseudomonadota; Gammaproteobacteria; Enterobacterales; Enterobacteriaceae
Description: partial 23S ribosomal RNA
Rfam family: Bacterial large subunit ribosomal RNA
Source: RNAcentral